RNAcentral lists this ribosomal RNA (465 nucleotides) under uncultured bacterium. RNAcentral describes it as "partial 16S ribosomal RNA". It matches the Rfam family "Bacterial small subunit ribosomal RNA", at positions 28 to 507 of the family's 1533-position model. The record is from RNAcentral.
GAUGAACGCUGGCGGCGUGCCUAACACAUGCAAGUCGAACGGAAAGGUCCCUUUGGGGCUCCUCGGGUGGCGACGGCGGGCGUAACACGUGCGUGACCUUCCCUUGCCUUCGGGACUACGUCAGGAAACUGGGGCUAAUACCGGUUAGGAAUCCUAGCUGGAAGGUGGGGGUUGGAUAGUUUCGGCGGUUUUUGAUGGGCUUGCGGCGUAUCAGCUUGUUGGUGGGGUAGUGGCUUACCAAGGCGUUGUCGGGAAGCCGGCCUGAGUGGGCGACCGGCCACAUUGAGACUGAGAGACGGCCCAGACGCCUACGGGUGGGAGCAGGGGGGAAGAUUGCACGAUGGGCGGAGGCCGGGUGCAGCAGGGCCGCGGGCGGGAUGACGGCCUUCGGGUUGUAGACCGCUUGCAGCAGGAGCGAUGCUUGUGGUGACGGUACCUGCAGAAGAAGCACCGGCUAACUACGUG